UUCAAUGAAAUUUGCUGCUUAGAGCCCUUCUAGUCUCGUCAGGAGACCUUUCCUACACCGGAGAGAUGGCUCGGAGUGAUGUAGACACCUAUGGCCGUAUCCUGGAAAAUUAUUUUGGAGCUUGCAGUUCGUGACCAGCCACCAAGGACGAAAGUCUCACUUUUGUAAUUGCUGAAACGAGGAAUAUGGUCACCAAUUUCACACCAGUGUGGUGACUUCUGAUCCAAGAGGCAAUGGCAUGAAGUCAAUAUUUUGCAGUAUGUGCAAUAUGCGGCAGUCUCUCUGUCAAAGGACUUGUGACAGCUGAAGCCCAGAUGUUGCAGUUUGAUGUCUAUGGCCAGCAGCAAUCUAAUGUUGUUGCACCUUUCCUUCCACACACACAGCAAUGCUGAAUAUGUCAUGGACAGACAUCGCUAAACUGCCUAUUUGAAGAAGCAUCGCAAUUCUUGUCUGCCAAUAAGCAGCAGUGACUAGCCAGCUAUAAUUACAGUUUGGAGGUCGGAGACGCGAUCCCGUGAACAUAUUGCGCCAACUGCAAUGAAGAAGGCCUUAGUAUCUAGAUUUAUUACCAUUCUCGUGUGGAUAACUAUGGCGGUGUGAUCCAAGUCAUGCGGACUAUAAAAUGCAUUAGACGUGAGAUAGUGAAUGUACUGCGAUUGACCCUGACGACAGCAAGCCAACAGUGGAUAUGAACCACACCGCCAGCAUCAUUCUGCACACCAGGAGAAUCCAAUACACAUAGCUGCCAACUCUGAUGGUAUAGACCCAAUAACUUGUUUUGUUACUCUAGAGAUUGGUAUACAAAUAUACAUGUACUAGUGCAAUCUCUAUCCAUAUGCGUAAUGCACUGUAUUUGUUUCCGGUGACUGGAGGUAGUUUAUCAUAGCACUGUUUUAUGUCCUGGUUUUGUUGAAGAUAAGCAUUAUCCAGUUAA
Long non-coding RNA from Sycon ciliatum, 934 nucleotides. RefSeq lists it as uncharacterized. The record is from RefSeq and is a predicted model, not a curated record. The transcript is spliced from 2 exons. NCBI's taxonomy places the organism in Eukaryota, Metazoa, Porifera, Calcarea, Leucosolenida, Sycettidae.